Molecule: long non-coding RNA, 257 nt
Organism: Acanthochromis polyacanthus (spiny chromis)
Lineage: Eukaryota; Metazoa; Chordata; Actinopteri; Pomacentridae
Exons: 3
Source: RefSeq, a predicted model, not a curated record
CUAACAGUGAAGGUAUUCAGCUGAUCCGUAACACUCCUGAGCCCUCACUAACAGGACUAGGAACCACAGUGUUGCUAUCUUGUGCCAUCUCCAUUGCUCAGAUUGCAGUUGGUAAUGUGUGGAUCUACUCUAUUUACCCGCCCAACUACAACAAGAACAGCACAACAAUAAAUGUGGAUCCUUACUGUGACAAGACGCUCUACUUGUUUGCCUUCUGGAUAACCACAGCGGGCUACAUCUUACUAGGUUUAGCUCUG